AAGAAAAGAAAGAAAAAAGAAAAAAAAAAGAAAGCAAGUUCAUCCGAGAGUGAUCCAUCGGAGAGUGAACUUGAUUUUUUCUCCGAGUCUUCAGUCUGAAGAAGACUCAGAGGAACCAAGAAGGAAACAACCCACCAGAACGGCCAAAAAGUAAAAUGGAAUCAAGAAAAAGGAAGCAGCUUUUAGAGGAUUCCACUUCAGAAAGUGAAAAUGAAUCCAAUGAUGAGACGCAAUCCAAAAAGAGAAAGCACAUUGUUGAGGAUUCGUCUUCUGAAGAACAAAUUCAAUCCUAUGAUGGGUAA
This is a non-coding RNA of Arachis ipaensis, 302 nucleotides long. The record is from RefSeq and is a predicted model, not a curated record. Lineage: Eukaryota; Viridiplantae; Streptophyta; Magnoliopsida; Fabales; Fabaceae.